RNAcentral lists this long non-coding RNA (1084 nucleotides) under Equus caballus (horse). RNAcentral describes it as "lncRNA (ENSECAG00000056359.1)". The record is from RNAcentral. Lineage: Eukaryota; Metazoa; Chordata; Mammalia; Perissodactyla; Equidae.
CUCUGACCUUUUCUAACUCACACGUUUUUCUGCUUUGGGGGAUUGAACUACUCCUGGCUCCACCUCUCUGGUAUUUAAAUAAAGUCUGCAUAAAAUACUAAACUCACUUAUCUUCCAGGCUUUGCUCAGUCUCCAUAGCAACCUCCCUAGAAACAGACUUCUUUAAAAAGGAAUCUCAAAAAAGUUGGGAUCAUAUAGGACUGUGUUCUUUACAAUUGUACUGAAAAUUGGAAAAAAUAAAACCAGCUGUCUCAUCACAACCUCCGCUGACUUCGCUCUCGUUCCAUAACGCUCUGGCCUGGUCAUCCGCUUCCGCUCUGCCCGGACCGUCCAGUCUCCACGUUGCAGUUGGAACCAUCUCCAAACGCAACUUUCUUAUGAGAAGAAAAUUUAGUGAUUUGCACUAGCCUUUGGGAAAAAUGCAGCUUACGUGCACGGAGACAAGACCAGCAUGAAUCCACUUGAUGCUUAGUUGCAGUUUGAAGAGAAAGAAGAAAAAGAAACCUAGAAAGGAUAAAUGGCUCUGCAGCAUGUCGAUGCAUUUACAGCACUCCUUAAAGAGAUUAGUAAUGAUGCAACAGUCUGUGGAGAUGUGGAGAAAUAAUGGUAUCCGUUCCCAGCUACAAAGAUUAAGAGUAUCACUGAAUUGCCCCAGGGACCCAUCAGUCAUUCUUCUCUUCUCGUCUUAUGCAGUGGCAGCAGGGAAAAUAUUCUAUGUAUCUGUCUCCUGAGACAACUGAUUGGUUCCCAGAAACAUCAUCGCCUCACGGAAGGACAAGUUAACUGGAUAUCCUAAAAGAACAUUGUAUACAAUGCUUAUUUUAUUUUAUUUUUCCAAGCUCUAUUUUUAAAGUAAAGUUGUAACUCAAAAGCUUGCAUAUUGGUGACCACAUGGUCUAGAAACAACUUGUCCAAUAAGCAUAAGCAUGUUUAAGGGGAUUGGUAUUGAUCACAAAGCCUCCCUCUUUGCUCUAAUUUCAUGUGGAUGCACUGGCAUCAAAGACAUAUGGGAAGAAAAAUUGAGUAAUGAGGCUGCCAUAGAAUAUAACUCCUUAUAGCCUUUCAAAGGAGUGAAAUCUUUAGC